Molecule: ribosomal RNA, 2890 nt
Filed under: Acinetobacter baumannii AB_2008-15-45
Lineage: Bacteria; Pseudomonadati; Pseudomonadota; Gammaproteobacteria; Moraxellales; Moraxellaceae
Description: bacterial LSU rRNA
Rfam family: Bacterial large subunit ribosomal RNA
Source: RNAcentral
UCAAGUAAUUAAGUGCAUGUGGUGGAUGCCUUGGCAGUCAGAGGCGAUGAAAGACGUGAUAGCCUGCGAAAAGCUCCGGGGAGGCGGCAAAUAUCCUUUGAUCCGGAGAUGUCUGAAUGGGGGAACCCACCUACUUUAAGGUAGGUAUUGCAACAUGAAUACAUAGUGUUGCAAGGCGAACGAGGGGAAGUGAAACAUCUCAGUACCCUUAGGAAAAGAAAUCAAUUGAGAUUCCCUCAGUAGCGGCGAGCGAACGGGGAUCAGCCCAUUAAGUUAUGUGUGUUUUAGUGGAACGCUCUGGGAAGUGCGAACGUAGAGGGUGAUAUUCCCGUACACGAAAGGGCACACAUAAUGAUGACGAGUAGGGCGAGGCACGUGAAACCUUGUCUGAAUAUGGGGGGACCAUCCUCCAAGGCUAAAUACUCCUGACUGACCGAUAGUGAACCAGUACCGUGAGGGAAAGGCGAAAAGAACCCCUGUGAGGGGAGUGAAAUAGAUCCUGAAACCGCAUGCAUACAAGCAGUGGGAGCACCUUCGUGGUGUGACUGCGUACCUUUUGUAUAAUGGGUCAGCGACUUAUAUUCAGUAGCGAGGUUAACCGUAUAGGGGAGCCGUAGAGAAAUCGAGUCUUAAUAGGGCGUUUAGUUGCUGGGUAUAGACCCGAAACCAGGCGAUCUAUCCAUGAGCAGGUUGAAGGUUGGGUAACACUAACUGGAGGACCGAACCCACUGUCGUUGAAAAGCCAGGGGAUGACUUGUGGAUAGGGGUGAAAGGCUAAUCAAGCCUGGUGAUAGCUGGUUCUCCCCGAAAGCUAUUUAGGUAGCGCCUCGGACGAAUACCAUAGGGGGUAGAGCACUGUUUCGGCUAGGGGGUCAUCCCGACUUACCAAACCGAUGCAAACUCCGAAUACCUAUGAGUACUAUCCGGGAGACAGACUGCGGGUGCUAACGUCCGUAGUCAAGAGGAAAACAAUCCAGACCGCCAGCUAAGGCCCCAAAAUCAUAGUUAAGUGGGAAACGAUGUGGGAAGGCAUAGACAGCUAGGAGGUUGGCUUAGAAGCAGCCACCCUUUAAAGAAAGCGUAAUAGCUCACUAGUCGAGUCGGCCUGCGCGGAAGAUGUAACGGGGCUAAAACUAUGUGCCGAAGCUGCGGAUGUAUACUUUGUAUACGUGGUAGGGGAGCGUUCUGUAAGCCGAUGAAGGUGUGUUGAGAAGCAUGCUGGAGGUAUCAGAAGUGCGAAUGCUGACGUGAGUAACGACAAAACGGGUGAAAAACCCGUUCGCCGAAAGACCAAGGGUUCCAGUCCAACGUUAAUCGGGGCUGGGUGAGUCGACCCCUAAGGCGAGGCCGAAAGGCGUAGUCGAUGGGAAAAUGGUUAAUAUUCCAUUACUUCUGUGUAAUGCGAUGAGAGGACGGAGAAGGCUAAAUCAGCCUGGCGUUGGUUGUCCAGGUGAAAGGAUGUAGGCAUGUAUCUUAGGCAAAUCCGGGGUACUCUAUGCUGAGAUCUGAUAGCAAGCUGUACUUGUACAGCGAAGUGGUUGAUGCCAUGCUUCCAGGAAAAGUCUCUAAGCUUCAGUUACACAGGAAUCGUACCCGAAACCGACACAGGUGGUCAGGUCGAGUAGACCAAGGCGCUUGAGAGAACUCUGCUGAAGGAACUAGGCAAAAUGGUACCGUAACUUCGGGAGAAGGUACGCUGUUGUUGGUGAUGGAACUCGCUUCCUGAGCUGACGACAGCCGCAGAAACCAGGCCGCUGCAACUGUUUAUUAAAAACAUAGCACUCUGCAAACACGAAAGUGGACGUAUAGGGUGUGAUGCCUGCCCGGUGCUGGAAGGUUAAUUGAUGGGGUUAGCGUAAGCGAAGCUCUUGAUCGAAGCCCCAGUAAACGGCGGCCGUAACUAUAACGGUCCUAAGGUAGCGAAAUUCCUUGUCGGGUAAGUUCCGACCUGCACGAAUGGCAUAAUGAUGGCGGCGCUGUCUCCAGCAGAGGCUCAGUGAAAUCGAAAUCGCUGUGAAGAUGCAGUGUACCCGCGGCUAGACGGAAAGACCCCGUGAACCUUUACUGCAGCUUGACACUGAACUUUGACCUUACUUGUGUAGGAUAGGUGGGAGGCUUUGAAGCUGGAACGCUAGUUCCAGUGGAGCCGUCCUUGAAAUACCACCCUGGUAAUGUUGAGGUUCUAACUCUGUCCCGUGAUCCGGGACGAGGACCGUGUCUGGUGGGUAGUUUGACUGGGGCGGUCUCCCCUAAAGAGUAACGGAGGAGUACGAAGGUGCGCUCAGCGUGGUCGGAAAUCACGCGUAGAGUAUAAAGGCAAAAGCGCGCUUAACUGCGAGACCCACAAGUCGAGCAGGUACGAAAGUAGGUCUUAGUGAUCCGGUGGUUCUGUAUGGAAGGGCCAUCGCUCAACGGAUAAAAGGUACUCUGGGGAUAACAGGCUGAUACCGCCCAAGAGUUCAUAUCGACGGCGGUGUUUGGCACCUCGAUGUCGGCUCAUCUCAUCCUGGGGCUGAAGCAGGUCCCAAGGGUAUGGCUGUUCGCCAUUUAAAGAGGUACGCGAGCUGGGUUUAGAACGUCGUGAGACAGUUCGGUCCCUAUCUACCGUGGGCGCUGGAAAUUUGAGAGGAUCUGCUCCUAGUACGAGAGGACCAGAGUGGACGAACCUCUGGUGUACCGGUUGUGACGCCAGUCGCAUCGCCGGGUAGCUAUGUUCGGAAGGGAUAACCGCUGAAAGCAUCUAAGCGGGAAGCCUACCUCAAGAUAAGAUUUCCCUAGGACUUUAUGUCCUCUAAAGAGCCGUUCGAGACUAGGACGUUGAUAGGUUGGAUGUGGAAGCAUAGUGAUAUGUGAAGCUGACCAAUACUAAUUGCUCGUGAGGCUUGACUAU